RNAcentral lists this ribosomal RNA (1232 nucleotides) under Escherichia coli. RNAcentral's name for it is "partial 23S ribosomal RNA". It matches the Rfam family "Bacterial large subunit ribosomal RNA", at positions 1 to 1273 of the family's 2925-position model. The record is from RNAcentral. Lineage: Bacteria; Pseudomonadati; Pseudomonadota; Gammaproteobacteria; Enterobacterales; Enterobacteriaceae.
GGUUAAGCGACUAAGCGUACACGGUGGAUGCCCUGGCAGUCAGAGGCGAUGAAGGACGUGCUAAUCUGCGAUAAGCGUCGGUAAGGUGAUAUGAACCGUUAUAACCGGCGAUUUCCGAAUGGGGAAACCCAGUGUGAUUCGUCACACUAUCAUUAACUGAAUCCAUAGGUUAAUGAGGCGAACCGGGGGAACUGAAACAUCUAAGUACCCCGAGGAAAAGAAAUCAACCGAGAUUCCCCCAGUAGCGGCGAGCGAACGGGGAGCAGCCCAGAGCCUGAAUCAGUGUGUGUGUUAGUGGAAGCGUCUGGAAAGGCGCGCGAUACAGGGUGACAGCCCCGUACACAAAAAUGCACAUACUGUGAGCUCGAUGAGUAGGGCGGGACACGUGGUAUCCUGUCUGAAUAUGGGGGGACCAUCCUCCAAGGCUAAAUACUCCUGACUGACCGAUAGUGAACCAGUACCGUGAGGGAAAGGCGAAAAGAACCCCGGCGAGGGGAGUGAAAAAGAACCUGAAACCGUGUACGUACAAGCAGUGGGAGCCUCUUUAUGGGGUGACUGCGUACCUUUUGUAUAAUGGGUCAGCGACUUAUAUUCUGUAGCAAGGUUAACCGAAUAGGGGAGCCGAAGGGAAACCGAGUCUUAACUGGGCGUUAAGUUGCAGGGUAUAGACCCGAAACCCGGUGAUCUAGCCAUGGGCAGGUUGAAGGUUGGGUAACACUAACUGGAGGACCGAACCGACUAAUGUUGAAAAAUUAGCGGAUGACUUGUGGCUGGGGGUGAAAGGCCAAUCAAACCGGGAGAUAGCUGGUUCUCCCCGAAAGCUAUUUAGGUAGCGCCUCGUGAAUUCAUCUCCGGGGGUAGAGCACUGUUUCGGCAAGGGGGUCAUCCCGACUUACCAACCCGAUGCAAACUGCGAAUACCGGAGAAUGUUAUCACGGGAGACACACGGCGGGUGCUAACGUCCGUCGUGAAGAGGGAAACAACCCAGACCGCCAGCUAAGGUCCCAAAGUCAUGGUUAAGUGGGAAACGAUGUGGGAAGGCCCAGACAGCCAGGAUGUUGGCUUAGAAGCAGCCAUCAUUUAAAGAAAGCGUAAUAGCUCACUGGUCGAGUCGGCCUGCGCGGAAGAUGUAACGGGGCUAAACCAUGCACCGAAGCUGCGGCAGCGACGCUUAUGCGUUGUUGGGUAGGGGAGCGUUCUGUAAGCCUGUGAAGGUGUACUGUGAGGUAUGC